CAUGCUCACAUGAGCAGGAGGGGUCGAAAUCUCAGGAAGAGGAUGACCAGGUUGGAAGAGACUUCAAGGGUGUCUUCUCCACUUGCUCCACUCCCAUUUGACAGGGCAGACGUGGACACCCAAGGUCUGCUGACCCCCGCCUGGGUGCUGCUCAGUGCUCAGACUCCAAGACCUCUGGGUUCAGCAUCUCACCGAGCAGAAGGUGUCCUUGGAAGACCUUUCCCCCAAGUGAUGCUUUGGCCAGAACACAGUGCAACUAGCGGAGAUAUUCUGAAAGGGAAUCAGGUCGCAAGACCUGAGAAACACACAGCAAUAAGGACUGGGUUGUCGAAUGUCAUUGUAAACAGGCGGCUGAAGAAAGAAAGCCAGGGCCGUGGAGGCUGCCCCAAGUGCACUGGCUGGAGACAGCACAGGCACACUCCCUGGCAAAGCUCAAGGGGGUCCCUAUCUGGUCCUUGUCAGCCACACCAAAGCUUUACAUCCUUCGGUCCGUCACCUUCCUCUCUAAGUUUUUCUCCUUGCAAUGUCCCACUUGUCUUGAAGAAGCCCUUGUUUAAUAGGUCAGAAGGUGGCCUACAUUGUCUCCUCCUUGACACUUUAUGUUGGUGACUUAAGGCCUCUGACAAGUCACACAGGGAAGAAGCUGGCUUACUCAUUUCACCUUGCGUUUCCUUGGAUCAGCAAGCUUGCCUUGUUCCUUUUGAGACACAGUCUUGCUCAGGUUGGACACAAACUCCUCAUUCUCCUGUCCUAGCCUCCCGAAGGCUGAGAUUACAGACACCCACCGCCACAUGGGACAGGCCACCUUGUUCUGUUGAGGGACAGAUUCUCUUGUUGCCAUGCAUGUUAUAUAAAUUGCCUGCCUUCCAAUAAAGCUUUAUUUAAAGUAA
Molecule: long non-coding RNA, 890 nt
Organism: Mesocricetus auratus (golden hamster)
Lineage: Eukaryota; Metazoa; Chordata; Mammalia; Rodentia; Cricetidae
Exons: 3
Source: RefSeq, a predicted model, not a curated record